Molecule: ribosomal RNA, 493 nt
Filed under: uncultured bacterium
Lineage: Bacteria
Description: partial 16S ribosomal RNA
Rfam family: Bacterial small subunit ribosomal RNA
Source: RNAcentral
AUUGAACGCUGGCGGCAUGCCUUACACAUGCAAGUCGAACGGUAACAGGUUAAGCUGACGAGUGGCGAACGGGUGAGUAAUAUAUCGGAACGUGCCCAGUCGUGGGGGAUAACUGCUCGAAAGAGCAGCUAAUACCGCAUACGACCUGAGGGUGAAAGCGGGGGAUCGCAAGACCCCGCGCGCUUGGAGCGGCCGAUAUCAGAUUAGGUAGUUGGUGGGGUAAAGGCCCACCAAGCCAACGAUCUGUAGCUGGUCUGAGAGGACGACCAGCCACACUGGGACUGAGACACGGCCCAGACUCCUACGGGAGGCAGCAGUGGGGAAUUUUGGACAAUGGGCGCAAGCCUGAUCCAGCCAUGCCGCGUGCGGGAAGAAGGCCUUCGGGUUGUAAACCGCUUUUGUCAGGGAAGAAAAGGUUCUGGUUAAUACCUGGGACUCAUGACGGUACCUGAAGAAUAAGCACCGGCUAACUACGUGCCAGCAGCCGCCGUAA